RNAcentral lists this ribosomal RNA (484 nucleotides) under uncultured bacterium. Its description in RNAcentral is "partial 16S ribosomal RNA". It matches the Rfam family "Bacterial small subunit ribosomal RNA", at positions 30 to 507 of the family's 1533-position model. The record is from RNAcentral.
AUUGAACGCUGGCGGCAUGCCUUACACAUGCAAGUCGAACGGCAGCACGGGUGCUUGCACCUGGUGGCGAGUGGCGAACGGGUGAGUAAUACAUCGGAACAUGUCCUGUAGUGGGGGAUAGCCCGGCGAAAGCCGGAUUAAUACCGCAUACGAUCUACGGAUGAAAGCGGGGGACCUUCGGGCCUCGCGCUAUAGGGUUGGCCGAUGGCUGAUUAGCUAGUUGGUGGGGUAAAGGCCUACCAAGGCGACGAUCAGUAGCUGGUCUGAGAGGACGACCAGCCACACUGGGACUGAGACGCGGCCGAGACUCCUGCGGGGGACAACAGUGGAAAAUUGUGGACUAUGGGCAAACGCGUGCUAGAGCAAUGCCGCGUGUGAAGAAGGCCUUCGGGUUGUAAAGCACUUUUGUCCGGAAAGAAAUCCUUGGCCCUAAUACGGUCGGGGGAUGACGGUACCGGAAGAAUAAGCACCGGCUAACUACGUG